GAAAUACUUUAAAGCAACUUGUUGAGGCCCUCUGUGUACUGGCCACUGGCCUCUGUGCUCUGCAGACAGAGAAAGUGGUAAGAUUAAGCUCUCGGCGUGUCCCCACCACUGCCAUCCCAGUGGUUGUCCUCUCCUGUCGUCGUGGGAUGGCUCAGCUGGGGACGAGAUGGCUGGGGCCGCUUGCGCUGUGUGACUCGUGACCCCAGGGACGCCUCUAUUCCUGCGUCUCGGGCCUGAGGCUGGAAGGAUGACCACAAGGACUCACGGACAUCAGAGGGCUCGGGGAACACCGGCAGGGCCGAUCGGCACGUCGCGCUGAUGAGGUCGAUGGAAUCAUCAUCCUUGCGGAGGGGAGGUGUGAAGAGGUGGGCUGUCCAAGUUGCCCAGCUGGCAAGUGACCGAACCGUGAUGCCAGCCCGGGCCACCCGAUGCCAGACUCAGAGCUCGGACAUGCCGCGUGGCUCCCAGGUGUGUGGACAGCAGACAGAAGUUCCACCAGGUGCUUUUGAACACAUGGUCUAAUAGUCAGGACAUCUCCAUAUCGCUGUUCUGUGAUCUGGCCAGUCCUAAACAUGACUGGAGAGCCCCCAUUCUUUCCCAUUUCAGCAGAGAGGGGAAAGACGCUAAAAUGGUGUGCCAGGAACUGGAAACAAGCUGUCAUGGGAGUCUAUUGUGCGAGUUCAAAGUUGGAAUGUCUUUUUUCCUUUUUUUUUUUUUUCCUCUUUUCGGAUUGGAAACUUUAUUAUGAUGAUGCACACAUGCUAGUGUGGUUAUGUGUUUCAUGGUGCAUGACCUCUCUUUAUCAAACACAUCUGAGAACCCGCUGUGCACCAGGUUCUGUGCUAAGUGCUCCAUGUGGGUUGCCGCUGAUCCUCAUUAUAACCUUUCAAGGUAAAUAUUUUCAUCACUAGAUGGAGAAAGCAAGGCUUAGAGAAAUCACAUUGUUAGUAAGUUAUAUGGCGUGAAUUUGAACCCCGCCCUGUCUUCUCCAAAGCCUGCCAGACCCCUUCCAUUAAGAGAAAGUUUGAAGAUACAGUAAUGGCGAAAGAGUACAUUAAACAGAAACUGAAGG
Molecule: long non-coding RNA, 1072 nt
Organism: Canis lupus familiaris (dog)
Lineage: Eukaryota; Metazoa; Chordata; Mammalia; Carnivora; Canidae
Exons: 3
Source: RefSeq, a predicted model, not a curated record